CCUAUUCAAGAUCUAAAUUUUAAGAUCUUCCACAGCUUUUCUUAUCUUCCUUCAAUGUGGAGCCAUGGCAAAGAGGUCACAUGGUAACUGCAUGGAAUGUUUGCUCUAGAACAAUACCCUAUUAUGAAAAUUGCUCAGUCUGAUUCAGACAUGAACCAAGCUAUGGCUGUCUUUAUUGAUACCAGCCAUUUAGAAAAAGGUGAGCUAAAUAAGCCUCACUGAGCAGAGCACUCACUGUGGGCUACGGCUGGCAUACAAUAUUGAAUAAUCCCAAGACCUCAUGAGUAUUAUUACUACCAUCCAUAUCUUACCAGAAAGAGACUCCAAACAAGUUCACUAACUUGCCAGGAACGGGCAUUCAAACCCAGUGAGAAACAAGCCCCCAGGAAAGUGAAGAGCUGGGAGGCAACAGACCAGACAUACUAGAGAAAACUGAGGACUGGCUCCCAAAUUCCUCCCACUGACACUCCCUCCCCCAUGGGAAGACUGGGCCUGACUUUGCUGCUGAUGUGCCACAUGAACUUGGGUUUUGGAGCACGUGACCACAAAGGGCCCUUCCAGGGUUAAUCAUGCGACCAUCAUUACCAACAACUACUGAGCACUUAUUACAUACCAGGAACUGCUGGAAGUCAGGCAGUGACAAAUGCCCCUCUCGCUCUGCCAUCCAUUACAAGUUGGAAGGUGCCAUGUUCCAAUUACUAGAGACCCCAGUGGAGCUCAUGGAAAACCCUGCUCCAGGCUGCAGCCAUUACUCAGGCCCGGCAGGGCUGCCAGCAGAGCUGCCCAAGGCCCAGGCCCCACUGGGUAAGAGCAUGGAGUAACAGCAUGUUUCUGACUCCGUAAGCCAGCCCCUUCCAUUCCUUAUUUGUGUUAUCCCUGGCGGGUCUAUCCUAGACACAUUUCCCAACUGAGUAAAAACAUGGGCACCCUGUGGGCUGCCUCAAACUACCCAGGAUCAAGACUGCCUAACACAAACAGAUAUGAGGAACAUAAGGUUAUGCUACCAGGUGGCGUAAGUGGGGAAUAUGAUGCUCAGGAGGAAGGGAAGAGUAUAAACAACCUAUGAUGUUCAGAGAAAGUAGAGACUGGGAUUGGCCCCGUGGCCGAGUGGUUAAGUUCACAUGCUCUGCUGCGGUGGCCCAGGGUUUCACUGGUUCGGAUCCUGG
Equus caballus (horse) is the source of this 1166-nucleotide non-coding RNA. The record is from RefSeq and is a predicted model, not a curated record. Lineage: Eukaryota; Metazoa; Chordata; Mammalia; Perissodactyla; Equidae.